RNAcentral lists this ribosomal RNA (433 nucleotides) under uncultured bacterium. RNAcentral describes it as "partial 16S ribosomal RNA". It matches the Rfam family "Bacterial small subunit ribosomal RNA", at positions 29 to 507 of the family's 1533-position model. The record is from RNAcentral.
AACGAACGCUGGCGGCAGGCCUAACACAUGCAAGUCGAGCGCGCCCUUCGGGGUGAGCGGCGGACGGGUGAGUAACGCGUGGGAACGUGCCCUUUUCUACGGAAUAGCCUCGGGAAACUGAGAGUAAUACCGUAUACGCCCUUUGGGGGAAAGAUUUAUCGGAAAAGGAUCGGCCCGCGUUGGAUUAGGUAGUUGGUGGGGUAAUGGCCUACCAAGCCGACGAUCCAUAGCUGGGUUGGGAGGAUGAUCAGCCACACUGGGACUGAGACACGGCCCAGACUCCUACGGGAGGCAGCAGUGGGGAAUCUUAGACAAUGGGGGCAACCCUGAUCUAGCCAUGCCGCGUGAGUGAUGAAGGCCUUAGGGUUGUAAAGCUCUUUCAGCUGGGAAGAUAAUGACGGUACCAGCAGGAGAAGCCCGGGGUAAGUCCGUG